AAAGGGCAAUUCCCUAGUACGGCGAGUGAACCGGGAAGAGCUCAAAUUUGAAAUCUGGCGUCCUCAGGGCGUCCGAGUUGUAAUCUAUAGAGGCGUUUUCCGUGCCGGACCGUGUCCAAGUUCCUUGGAACAGGAUAUCAAAGAGGGUGACAAUCCCGUACUUGACACGACGACCGGUGCUCUGUGAUACGUCUUCUACGAGUCGAGUUGUUUGGGAAUGCAGCUCAAAAUGGGUGGUGAGUUCCAUCUAAAGCUAAAUAUUGGCGAGAGACCGAUAGCGAACAAGUACCGUGAGGGAAAGAUGAAAAGCACUUUGGAAAGAGAGUUAAACAGUACGUGAAAUUGUUGAAAGGGAAACGAUUGAAGUCAGUCGUGACCGAGAGGCUCAGCCGGUUCUGCCGGUGUAUUCCCCUCGGUCGGGUCAACAUCAGUUUUGUCCGGUGGAUAAGGGCGGUAGGAAGGUGGCACCCUCGGGUGUGUUAUAGCCUGCCGUCGCAUACAUCGGGUGAGACUGAGGAACGCAGCUCGCCUUUAUGGCCGGGGUUCGCCCACGUCCGAGCUUAGGAUGUUGACAUAAUGGCUUUAAACGACCCGUCUUGAAAMACGGGACACAAAAA
RNAcentral lists this ribosomal RNA (617 nucleotides) under Papiliotrema laurentii. RNAcentral's name for it is "partial large subunit ribosomal RNA". It matches the Rfam family "Eukaryotic large subunit ribosomal RNA", at positions 67 to 664 of the family's 3401-position model. Lineage: Eukaryota; Fungi; Basidiomycota; Tremellomycetes; Tremellales; Rhynchogastremaceae. The record is from RNAcentral.